Molecule: ribosomal RNA, 468 nt
Filed under: uncultured bacterium
Lineage: Bacteria
Description: partial 16S ribosomal RNA
Rfam family: Bacterial small subunit ribosomal RNA
Source: RNAcentral
GACGAACGCUGGCGGCGUGCUUAACACAUGCAAGUCGAACGGAAAGGCCCUGCUUUUGUGGGGUGCUCGAGUGGCGAACGGGUGAGUAACACGUGAGUAACCUGCCCUUGACUUUGGGAUAACUUCAGGAAACUUGGGCUAAUACCGGAUAGGAGCUCCUGCUGCAUGGUGGGGGUUGGAAAGUUUCGGCGGUUGGGGAUGGACUCGCGGCUUAUCAGCUUGUUGGUGGGGUAGUGGCUUACCAAGGCUUUGACGGGUAGCCGGCCUGAGAGGGUGACCGGCCACAUUGGGACUGAGAUACGGCCCAGACUCCUACGGGAGGCAGCAGUGGGGAAUAUUGCACAAUGGGCGGAAGCCUGAUGCAGCAACGCCGCGUGCGGGAUGACGGCCUUCGGGUUGUAGACCGCUUUCGCCUGUGACGAAGCGUGAGUGACGGUAAUGGGUAAAGAAGCACCGGCUAACUACGUG